CCUACGGGAGGCAGCAGUGAGGAAUAUUGGUCAAUGGCCGUAAGGCUGAACCAGCCAAGUAGCGUGAGGGAAGACUGCCCUAUGGGUUGUAAACUUCUUUUAUGCGGGGAUACGGGUGUCCACGUGUGGAUGUUUGCAGGUACCGAAUGCAUAAGGACCGGCUAAUUCGGUGCCCGCAGCCGCGGUAUUACGGAAGGUCCGGGCGUUAUCCGGAUUUAUUGGGUUUAAAGGGAGCGUAGGCCGGUCUUUAAGCGUGCCGUGAAAUAUUGGGGCUCAACCAUGAGAGUGCGGCGCGAACUGGUGACCUGGAGUGCGCGGAAGGCAGGCGGAAUUCGUGGUGUAGCGGUGAAAUGCGUAGAUAUCACGAAGAACCCCGAUUGCGAAGGCAGCCUGCCGCAGCGUUACUGACGCUGAAGCUCGAAAGCGCGGGUAUCGAACAGGAUUAGAUACCCGUGUAGUC
RNAcentral lists this ribosomal RNA (460 nucleotides) under uncultured bacterium. RNAcentral's name for it is "partial 16S ribosomal RNA". It matches the Rfam family "Bacterial small subunit ribosomal RNA", at positions 338 to 795 of the family's 1533-position model. The record is from RNAcentral.